CCUAACUACGUGCCCAGCAGCCGCGGUAAUUCGUAGGGGGCAAGCGUUGUCCUGAAUUAUUGGGCGUAAAGAGCUCGUAGGCGGGUUUGUCGCGUCUGCUGUGAAAAACUGGAAGCUCAACUUCCAGCCUGCAGUGGGUACGGGGCAGACUAGAGUGCGGUAGGGGAGAACGGAAUUCCUGGUGUAGCGGUGGAAUGCGCAGAUAUCAGGAGGAACACCGAUGGCGAAGGCAGUUCUCUGGGCCGUUACUGACGCUGAGGAGCGAAAGCGUGGGGAGCGAACAGGAUUAGAUACCCUGGUAGUCCACGCCGUAAACGGUGGGUGCUAGCUGUGGGCCACAUUCCACGGGUCCGGGCGAAGUAAACCAUUAG
This 371-nucleotide ribosomal RNA is filed under the name uncultured Actinomycetes bacterium. RNAcentral describes it as "bacterial SSU rRNA". It matches the Rfam family "Bacterial small subunit ribosomal RNA", at positions 496 to 864 of the family's 1533-position model. Lineage: Bacteria; Bacillati; Actinomycetota; Actinomycetes. The record is from RNAcentral.